This 3047-nucleotide ribosomal RNA is filed under the name Cohnella cholangitidis. RNAcentral's name for it is "Cohnella sp. KS 22 23S ribosomal RNA". It matches the Rfam family "Bacterial large subunit ribosomal RNA". The record is from RNAcentral. Lineage: Bacteria; Bacillati; Bacillota; Bacilli; Caryophanales; Paenibacillaceae.
UUGGUUAAGCUAAUAAGUGCGCACGGAGGAUGCCUAGGCGCCAGGAGCCGAUGAAGGACGCGACGAACAGCGAUAUGCUUCGGGGAGCUGUAAGUGAGCUUUGAUCCGGAGAUUUCCGAAUGGGGAAACCCAGCUAUCGUAAUGGAUAGUUACCCUCGAGUGAAUACAUAGCUCGUUGGAGGCACACCAGGGGAACUGAAACAUCUAAGUACCCUGAGGAACAGAAAACAAUAGUGAUUCCGUCAGUAGCGGCGAGCGAAAGCGGAGAAGCCCAAACCAAGGAGCUUGCUCCUUGGGGUUGUGGGACGUCUCACAUGGAGUAAAAAAAGAGAAGGUUAGGCGAAGAGGUCUGGAAAGGCCCGUCACAGAAGGUAACAACCCUGUAGCCGAAAGUCUUCUCUCUCCGAGACGGAUCCCGAGUACCGCGGGACACGAGAAACCCCGUGGGAAUCCGGCAGGACCAUCUGCCAAGGCUAAAUACUACCUGGCGACCGAUAGUGAAGCAGUACCGUGAGGGAAAGGUGAAAAGCACCGCGGGAGCGGAGUGAAAAAGAACCUGAAACCGUGCGCUUACAAGAAGUCAGAGCCCGAUCUAGGGGUGAUGGCGUGCCUUUUGUAGAAUGAACCGGCGAGUUACGUUCACGUGCAAGGUUAAGCUGAUGAGGCGGAGCCGAAGGGAAACCGAGUCUGAAUAGGGCGAAUAAGUACGUGGUCGUAGACCCGAAACCGUGUGAUCUACCCCUGUGCAGGGUGAAGGUGAGGUAACACUCACUGGAGGCCCGAACUCGUGAGCGUUGAAAAGCUCUGGGAUGACGUGGGGGUAGGGGAGAAAUUCCAAUCGAACUCGGAGAUAGCUGGUUCUCCCCGAAAUAGCUUUAGGGCUAGCCUCGAGGUGAAGCAUCAUGGAGGUAGAGCACUGAUUGGGUGCGGGGCCCGCCAAGGGUUACCAAGUCCAGUCAAACUCCGAAUGCCAUGCAUGUAUACUCGGGAGUCAGACGGCGAGUGCUAAGAUCCGUCGUCAAGAGGGAAAGAGCCCAGAUCAUCAGCUAAGGUCCCCAAGUGUGUGUUAAGUGGGAAAGGAUGUGGAGUUGCGAAGACAACCAGGAUGUUGGCUUAGAAGCAGCCACCAUUUAAAGAGUGCGUAAUAGCUCACUGGUCGAGUGACUCUGCGCCGAAAAUGUAACGGGGCUAAACACACCACCGAAGCUAUGGCAUGUACCUUAGGGUACUUGGGUAGGGGAGCGUUGAAUGCGGGUUGAAGUCAGACCGGAAGGACUGGUGUUCAAGAUUUCGGCAAAUGUAACGGGGCUAAACACACCACCGAAGCUAUGGCAUGUACUAGGGUACUUGGGUAGGGGAGCGUUGAAUGCGGGUUGAAGUCAGACCGGAAGGACUGGUGGACUGCAUUCAAGUGAGAAUGCCGGUAUGAGUAACGAAAAGACAGGUGAGAAUCCUGUCCGCCGAAAGCCUAAGGGUUCCUGGGGUAGGUUCGUCCGCCCAGGGUAAGUCGGGACCUAAGGCGAGGCCGAAAGGCGUAGUCGAUGGACAACAGGUUGAAAUUCCUGUACCACCGUAAUCCGUUAUGAGCGAUGGGGGGACGCAGGAGGGGAACGACGCGAGCUGAUGGAUAUGCUCGUCCAAGCAGUGAGAGGUGUGUGUAGGCAAAUCCGCACACUAUAACCUCAAGCUGUGAUGGGGAGGGAAAAUCAUAGUACCGAAGGUCAUGUACCCACGCUGCCAAGAAAAGCCUCUAGCCAGGAGAAGGUGCCCGUACCGUAAACCGACACAGGUGGGCGAGAUGAGAAUUCUAAGGCGCGCGGAAGAACUCUCGUUAAGGAACUCGGCAAAAUGACCCCGUAACUUCGGGAGAAGGGGUGCCCCGGUAGUGUGAAUAGCACGAGGGGGCCGCAGUGAAGAGGCCCAAGCGACUGUUUAGCAAAAACACAGGUCUGUGCGAAGCCGCAAGGCGAAGUAUACGGGCUGACGCCUGCCCGGUGCUGGAAGGUUAAGAGGAGUGGUUAGGGGCAACCCGAAGCUAUGAAUUGAAGCCCCAGUAAACGGCGGCCGUAACUAUAACGGUCCUAAGGUAGCGAAAUUCCUUGUCAGGUAAAUUCUGACCCGCACGAAUGGCGUAACGACUUGGGCGCUGUCUCAACGAGAGAUCCGGUGAAAUUUUAGUACCUGUGAAGAUGCAGGUUACCCGCGACGUGACGGAAAGACCCCAUGGAGCUUUACUGUAGCUUGAUAUUGAACUUUGGUACGGUCUGUACAGGAUAGGUGGGAGCCUAUGAAGCAGGAGCGCAAGCUUCUGUGGAGGCGCCGUUGGGAUACCACCCUGAUCGUAUCGGAGUUCUAACUCACUACCCUUACCGGGUAGGAGGACCGUGUCAGGCGGACAGUUUGACUGGGGCGGUCGCCUCCUAAAAAGUAACGGAGGCGCUCUAAGGUUCCCUCAGCGCGGUUGGAAAUCGCGCGCAGAGUGCAAAGGCAUAAGGGAGCUUGACUGCGAGACCUACAAGUCGACAGGGACGAAAGUCGGACUUAGUGAUCCGGUGGUACCGAAUGGAAGGGCCAUCGCUCAACGGAUAAAAGCUACCCUGGGGAUAACAGGCUUAUCUCCCCCAAGAGUCCACAUCGACGGGGAGGUUUGGCACCUCGAUGUCGGCUCAUCGCAUCCUGGGGCUGAAGUAGGUCCCAAGGGUUGGGCUGUUCGCCCAUUAAAGCGGUACGCGAGCUGGGUUCAGAACGUCGUGAGACAGUUCGGUCCCUAUCUGUCGCGGGCGUAGGAAAUUUGAGAGGGGCUGUCCUUAGUACGAGAGGACCGGGAUGGACGCACCGCUGGUGUACCAGUUGUUCCGCCAGGAGCACCGCUGGGUAGCCAAGUGCGGAAGGGAUAAGCGCUGAAAGCAUCUAAGCGCGAAGCCUGCCUCAAGAUGAGAUUUCCCAAUUCGUAAGACCCCUGGAAGAACACCAGGUUGAUAGGCUCGGGGUGGAAGCGCGGCAACGUGUGGAGCUGACGAGUACUAAUCGGUCGAGGGCUUAUCCUA